RNAcentral lists this ribosomal RNA (253 nucleotides) under uncultured bacterium. Its description in RNAcentral is "partial 16S ribosomal RNA". It matches the Rfam family "Bacterial small subunit ribosomal RNA", at positions 524 to 776 of the family's 1533-position model. The record is from RNAcentral.
UACGAAGGGGGCUAGCGUUGCUCGGAAUCACUGGGCGUAAAGCGCACGUAGGCGGACUCUUAAGUCGGUGGUGAAAUCCUGGAGCUCAACUCCAGAACUGCCUUCGAUACUGAGAGUCUCGAGUCCGGGAGAGGUGAGUGGAACUGCGAGUGUAGAGGUGAAAUUCGUAGAUAUCGGAAGGAACAUCAGUGGCGAAAGCGACUUCCUGGACCAGUACCGACGUUCAGGCACGAAAGCGUGGGGAGCAAACAGG